Molecule: long non-coding RNA, 141 nt
Filed under: Coturnix japonica (Japanese quail)
Lineage: Eukaryota; Metazoa; Chordata; Aves; Galliformes; Phasianidae
Description: lncRNA (ENSCJPG00005012437.1)
Source: RNAcentral
CUUGCUAGCUCUGCGAGUAUACUGCACUGGAAAUUUAGAUAAAGCUUACUGUCCUGUCCAUUGAUGUGUUCAUAAGCAGUAAGGUGGAGAGAGUGCCUCUAAGUAUUUAUUAAGCAAACAGUUGUGAAACUAUUACAAAAA